This 490-nucleotide ribosomal RNA is filed under the name uncultured bacterium. RNAcentral describes it as "partial 16S ribosomal RNA". It matches the Rfam family "Bacterial small subunit ribosomal RNA", at positions 30 to 507 of the family's 1533-position model. The record is from RNAcentral.
AUUGAACGCUGGCGGCAGGCCUAACACAUGCAAGUCGAACGGUAACAGGAAGAAGCUUGCUUCUUUGCUGACGAGUGGCGGACGGGUGAGUAAUGUCUGGGAAACUGCCUGAUGGAGGGGGAUAACUACUGGAAACGGUAGCUAAUACCGCAUAACGUCGCAAGACCAAAGAGGGGGACCUUCGGGCCUCUUGCCAUCGGAUGUGCCCAGAUGGGAUUAGCUAGUAGGUGGGGUAACGGCUCACCUAGGCGACGAUCCCUAGCUGGUCUGAGAGGAUGACCAGCCACACUGGAACUGAGACACGGUCCAGACUCCUACGGGAGGCAGCAGUGGGGAAUAUUGCACAAUGGGCGCAAGCCUGAUGCAGCCAUGCCGCGUGUAUGAAGAAGGCCUUCGGGUUGUAAAGUACUUUCAGCGGGGAGGAAGAGAGUAAAGUUAAUACCUUUACUCAUUGACGUUACCCACAGAAGAAGCACCGGCUAACUCCGUG